UGAGGACCCAGGCCCUGCUGGUGCUCGUCCUACGCGGCUCACGCACAGCGCCUUUCCGUGCGCACCUGAGCGGCUUCUCUGGAGGCUGUGAGUCGGUCCAGUCUCUCGCCGUGGUGUGCAGUCCAGGCGGCCACAGUCCUGGGUGGACAGUCUCCUCCCACCCGCCAGCUGGGUGCAUUCUUGUGGCCCUAGCACUUCCAACAGGCGUGUGGAAGAACACAGUGGUGACUCGUGAAGAGGUGGACAGCUUGCUCAUGCAGCGGAACGGAGGCUCCUCCAACCCCCUUUCUGGGACUGCACCCAAGCCACUCUCACUGGAAUCCCUUCAUUAGAAGGGAAGGAGGGUGGGAGAAGCCCUUGCGGCUACUGUCUUCACCCAGGGAGCCCUGGUGUGAGAGGCUGGUGCCGGCAUGUGCACUGGGAACGGGAGCCAUGUGCUCGGUCCCCGGGAGUUUCUGCAGAAACCCUUCAAGCCUACCUUGUCUCCAGCAGGCAAGGAGCCCAGUUGUGCUUGGCAUCUGGAGAUUUUUCUCUUUGCUUGAUUGUGUUGUCCCAAAGCAGAUGAAGCGCUUGAGGUGCUUGGAGAGUGGGGCACACCAGUGUGGUGUUGGGUACUUUCUGCAUUUCUAGCAGGAAAACCUUGAGAAGCCAGCACCCAGCCCACGAGCUCCGUUGGUGUGGGGCCUGAACUCCUCGGUGAAUGUUAGCCUCCACCUCCCACUCUGGACCUUCUGAGAGAUCCCCUGAUGUGUCCAUUUCCUCUUGGACACAUUCCAGUUGUAUUAAGGUCCACACAUUUCCCAGGAUAGCCAACAGGUUGACACUGCUGAGACAUUUGUCCCUAUCCCUCAUAUGAGGCUGCUUGCUGAAGAGUGGGCCUCAGUGGAAGGCUGGUUCACCUCAGAGUACCUGCUGGGGAGCACAGCCUUCAUUAGAUGUGGCUUCCACCUGCAACAGCAGCUUGAGUGUGAGAGGAGGCUCCCAGCUGUGCGUGCAGGGCCAUUCUGCAGAGAGUGGAAAUCCUCAGGGGCACAUUGGAGGAGGAGGACAGAUUGGCUGCAGGCUCUCGGGAAUGGGAGGAAGAAAGAUGGAAGUGUCCCGUGAGCACAGGAAAUGAGUGUUGAGCUGCAGUGGCCUGGAGCUCCCACCAGCUCCUCAGAGGAUGCCCAGGUGGAAGCCCACACCACUACCUUCCCUGGACACAUCUCCUUGGCCACACGUUCCAGGCUGGGAAGCACAGCCUUCCCAGACAGAGACAGGGGUGAGUCAUGGCUCCUGAUUUCUCUCCAGUGGCCAGCAUAUUCUGUUCUGUAUCGCAACUAGUGACAGACUGUCUCCCUGUCUCCAAGGAAUUCAAAUUAAACUUUUCUGCAGCAACAAUGGAAAUGAAAUAUUUCAGUAAAUAAAAGUAGCAAAUUCAUCAAGGUGAAAUUCAA
Molecule: long non-coding RNA, 1436 nt
Organism: Marmota monax (woodchuck)
Lineage: Eukaryota; Metazoa; Chordata; Mammalia; Rodentia; Sciuridae
Exons: 2
Source: RefSeq, a predicted model, not a curated record